This 815-nucleotide ribosomal RNA is filed under the name uncultured bacterium. Its description in RNAcentral is "bacterial SSU rRNA". It matches the Rfam family "Bacterial small subunit ribosomal RNA", at positions 86 to 935 of the family's 1533-position model. The record is from RNAcentral.
UCGGCCUUAGUGGCGCACGGGUGCGUAACGCGUGGGAAUCUACCCUUAGGUUCGGAAUAACUCAGAGAAAUUUGAGCUAAUACCGGAUAAUGUCUUCGGACCAAAGAUUUAUCGCCUUUGGAUGAGCCCGCGUAAGAUUAGCUAGUUGGUAGGGUAAAGGCCUACCAAGGCGACGAUCUUUAGCUGGUCUGAGAGGAUGAUCAGCCACACUGGGACUGAGACACGGCCCAGACUCCUACGGGAGGCAGCAGUGGGGAAUAUUGGACAAUGGGCGCAAGCCUGAUCCAGCAAUGCCGCGUGAGUGAUGAAGGCCUUCGGGUCGUAAAGCUCUUUUACCAGGGAUGAUAAUGACAGUACCUGGAGAAUAAGCUCCGGCUAACUCCGUGCCAGCAGCCGCGGUAAUACGGAGGGAGCUAGCGUUGUUCGGAAUUACUGGGCGUAAAGCGCGCGUAGGCGGCUUGCCAAGUCAGGGGUGAAAUCCCGGGGCUCAACCCCGGAACUGCCCUUGAAACUAGCAGGCUAGAAUCUUGGAGAGGUCAGUGGAAUUCCGAGUGUAGAGGUGAAAUUCGUAGAUAUUCGGAAGAACACCAGUGGCGAAGGCGACUGACUGGACAAGUAUUGACGCUGAGGUGCGAAAGCGUGGGGGAGCAAACAGGAUUAGAUACCCUGGUAGUCCACGCCGUAAACGAUGAUAACUAGCUGUCCGGGUUCACAGAACUUGGGUGGCGCAGCUAACGCAUUAAGUUAUCCGCCUGGGGAGUACGGUCGCAAGAUUAAAACUCAAAGGAAUUGACGGGGGCCUGCACAAGCGGUGG